Molecule: non-coding RNA, 176 nt
Filed under: Streptococcus canis
Lineage: Bacteria; Bacillati; Bacillota; Bacilli; Lactobacillales; Streptococcaceae
Description: MOSES4
Rfam family: S. pyogenes small RNA MOSES4
Source: RNAcentral
CUUUUUCCUUCGAGCAAUAUCUACUCCAUAAAGAUCCAUCAGUCGAACAGUAUAUUUCAAAUUACUGCGUAUUACUCCAAAUUGCUUCUCUAGAUGUGGCCAACUAACACCUGACUUCUUUAAACGAUAAAUUUCUAGUUUAUCUUCAUAACUUAAUUUCAUACAAAAAGCACCUC